RNAcentral lists this long non-coding RNA (1340 nucleotides) under Citrus sinensis (sweet orange). RNAcentral describes it as "long non-coding RNA (CSIN_LNC003774)". The record is from RNAcentral. Lineage: Eukaryota; Viridiplantae; Streptophyta; Magnoliopsida; Sapindales; Rutaceae.
GGGGAGAGAUGUCGGUUAGCCUGCAGCUGCGGCCCCUUCGCUCUGAAGAGGCGGAAUCUUUUCUUUUGAUUUUUGAGUUUAUGUAUGUAGCCUCUCUUAAGUGCGGGACCCGCGUUAUCAAAGCAAAAGGCACCACGCGUCCACGCCUCAAUGGCAGUGCCUGUUCCCCCCGGAGGCUAAUUGUUACUACAUACAGACGACGGGUCCGCCUAAGUAGUAUCUUACGGUCAGUCUGUGAAAUUUCAUCUAGCCCCAUAUAUUUUAUAUUAUUUAUAUUUUAUUUAUAAAUAUUAUAAAUAUUUUGAAAUAUAAAAUUUUAUUUAAUUCUUUAUACUCAAUUUAAUAGUAAAUAAAGCAUAUAAGGUUAGAUGAAAUUUGACAGGAAGACAGUAACUUACAUUCAAUAUAACUUAGGCGGAUUCCGUACAGUAUAUUAAAAAAUAUCAUCUCUUCCUCUUUUUAGAUGACGAAGGUCAAAUUUGUGUGGGAGUUAAGAGUUUUGGUCAAACUUACUGAUAGACUGGGGUGUAAAGACAGAAGAGCUCCAUACUUGAGACGUGUGCCAUUUGGUGGUGCGGUGUUCACAAGUUUGGAUUUGUCGACAAAGGUCGUCCGUGGGAAUUAGAAUUUUGGAUCGACAGAGACCAAAAUGAAGUCGUAUAUAUAUAUAUACUUUUUUUAAAUAUAAAAUUCACAUAGAAAUAGGUUAAAUUUUAGAUAAAAUUCUAAUUCUUUUUUUUUUAUAAAAAAAAUCCCAACUUGAGGAUCUAGGUCUUGCUAUCCCUGCUAGCUAAGAUGGACACAGCAGGGACAAGGUGAAUUGUAUUUUUCAAAAGUCAAUCAAUCCCUAUAUUUUGAAGCAAUGAAUGGGGGGCUAAAUUAGGGUAAAGUCUUUUUGCACUUUUUUUUUUUUUUUUGGUAUCUUGUGAGAAUUAUUUCACUCAUAUCUACUGAGGGCAUGCAGGAAGACGGUCAAGUUUUGCUGCCGUGGCUUUUGUCAACUGUCAAAUUUCAAUUUGAACAUUAGGGAAUAUCAUUAUGCUUCGUUUUGAAUCAAAACUCUUUUGCCAUAUCAAACAAACUUUGGGUCCUUUACCAAAUGCAUGUUUUUGUAUGAAAUGAUUUGAAAUGCCCCGAAAUGAAAAUGCUUUUCCAAAUUAUCUUUCUCUUUUGGGAUUGUUUCUCACCAAAUACGUUUCAUCGUCUUCACGGCUUUAGAAAUAAAUAUUGCAUUCUCGAUUAAAAUUCAGAACAGCAGCAAUGAAUGAAAAACGUUUUCGAGUUUAUCAAUGACAGAAACAUUUGAAGCCACGUUUUUUAUGAGUUCUUUUUUUUUUUUC